UACGAAGGGGGCUAGCGUUGUUCGGAAUUACUGGGCGUAAAGCGCACGUAGGCGGCUUUCUAAGUCGGGGGUGAAAUCCUGGAGCUCAACUCCAGAACUGCCUUCGAUACUGGAGAGCUUGAGUCCGGGAGAGGUGAGUGGAACUGCGAGUGUAGAGGUGAAAUUCGUAGAUAUUCGCAAGAACACCAGUGGCGAAGGCGGCUCACUGGCCCGGUACUGACGCUGAGGUGCGAAAGCGUGGGGAGCAAACAGG
RNAcentral lists this ribosomal RNA (253 nucleotides) under uncultured bacterium. RNAcentral describes it as "partial 16S ribosomal RNA". It matches the Rfam family "Bacterial small subunit ribosomal RNA", at positions 524 to 776 of the family's 1533-position model. The record is from RNAcentral.